AUUGGACGCUGGCGGCAGGCCUAACACAUGCAAGUCGAGCGGAUGAAGGGAGCUUGCUCCUGGAUUCAGCGGCGGACGGGUGAGUAAUGCCUAGGAAUCUGCCUGGUAGUGGGGGAUAACGUCCGGAAACGGGCGCUAAUACCGCAUACGUCCUGAGGGAGAAAGUGGGGGAUCUUCGGACCUCACGCUAUCAGAUGAGCCUAGGUCGGAUUAGCUAGUUGGUGGGGUAAAGGCCUACCAAGGCGACGAUCCGUAACUGGUCUGAGAGGAUGAUCAGUCACACUGGAACUGAGACACGGUCCAGACUCCUACGGGAGGCAGCAGUGGGGAAUAUUGGACAAUGGGCGAAAGCCUGAUCCAGCCAUGCCGCGUGUGUGAAGAAGGUCUUCGGAUUGUAAAGCACUUUAAGUUGGGAGGAAGGUCAGUAAGUUAAUACCUUGCUGUUUUGACGUUACCAACAGAAUAAGCACCGGCUAACUUCGUG
RNAcentral lists this ribosomal RNA (484 nucleotides) under uncultured bacterium. RNAcentral describes it as "partial 16S ribosomal RNA". It matches the Rfam family "Bacterial small subunit ribosomal RNA", at positions 30 to 507 of the family's 1533-position model. The record is from RNAcentral.